AAAAUCCGUCGACUUAAAAAAUCGUGAGGGUUCAAGUCCCUCUAUCCCCAAAAAGUCUAUUUGACUAGUUAUCCUAUCCCU
RNAcentral lists this transfer RNA (81 nucleotides) under Montinia caryophyllacea. RNAcentral describes it as "partial tRNA-Leu". The record is from RNAcentral. Lineage: Eukaryota; Viridiplantae; Streptophyta; Magnoliopsida; Solanales; Montiniaceae.